CUACGGAGGGUGCAAGCGUUAUUCGGAAUCACUAGGCGUAAAGGACGCGUAGGCGGGUUGGCAAGUCAGAUGUGAAAUCCUACAGCUUAACUGUAGAACUGCAUUUGAAACUGCUAACCCAGAGUAUGGGAGGGGGAGAUGGAAUUAGUGGUGUAGGGGUAAAAUCCGUAGAUAUCACUAGGAAUACCGAAAGCGAAGGCGAUCUCCUGGAACAUAACUGACGCUAAGGCGUGAAAGCGUGGGGAGCAAACAGGAUUAGAAACCCUAGUAGUCC
This 274-nucleotide ribosomal RNA is filed under the name uncultured bacterium. RNAcentral's name for it is "partial 16S ribosomal RNA". It matches the Rfam family "Bacterial small subunit ribosomal RNA", at positions 523 to 796 of the family's 1533-position model. The record is from RNAcentral.